GAAAAGGUAAAAAUAUAUUUAUUCAAAGUCACAAAAAUGAUGAAUGAAAAAUUUUACAGGUUCCUAAUUAAAAUUAAUACGGCGACGUAAGCGGCGAGGGACCUGAUCCGACGUCGGCCACGUGGAGGGACAACAGAAGAAGAGGCGGGCGGAAGAUCGCCACCAGACCAUUCUUCAAAAAUAGAUUCCCUAGCAGCAACAGCAACACUCUGUCGCUCAACAAUAAGCUGGCGCAGAAAAGGAAGAUCCAAGGUCGACGACCGAGGAUCCAAAAUAUUCAAAAUUCGAUGCAGCUCCUCAAUCUCUCCCUGAAUAAAAUCAGCAAAGAGACUCACAAGAAGAG
This 343-nucleotide long non-coding RNA is filed under the name Zostera marina. RNAcentral's name for it is "long non-coding RNA (ZMAR_LNC000927)". The record is from RNAcentral. Lineage: Eukaryota; Viridiplantae; Streptophyta; Magnoliopsida; Alismatales; Zosteraceae.